RNAcentral lists this long non-coding RNA (1480 nucleotides) under Canis lupus familiaris (dog). Its description in RNAcentral is "lncRNA (ENSCAFG00000056847.1)". Lineage: Eukaryota; Metazoa; Chordata; Mammalia; Carnivora; Canidae. The record is from RNAcentral.
UGGGGGGGCAGGGUUGGGUUGGCUUUAAAGCUGUAGCCACCUAACUUAAGUGACACUCUCUAGUUAAGGAGGAUCAGAUUUCCAAUCCAAUGGGAGCCUGCGAGGUGGGGAAGUGAGGGAAGGAGGGUGAAUUCCUGGUUCUGUGGUGCCCACUCUAUCACUUGAUCCUGCCUCAGAGUUAUCGUUUGUACUUAAAAGCUCCUUUUUUUUUUUUUUUUUUUUUGCCAUUAGAGGGGAUAAUUCUAUAAGAUGUAUUCCAUCAGGAUACUUAGUUAUGUGAAACUUUUUUUUUUUCCUACCAUUUCAUUUGGCUGUCACUACACAGUGGACCCACCUGCGAGCUUAACUAGAAGUAUAUCAAGAUAGCCUUCGGCAGGACGCCAAAUUUAAUUAAAGGAAACCUUAAAAUGUAUGUACACGUGAAAGAAUAUGACUAGUAUGUGUAGAUAUACUACUAAAGUAAGGCCACAAAGUCUUAGAACUUUAUAGAAGAAAAGAACCUUAGCAAUUAAGGACCUCAGGGUCUUUUUUCCCCUCCCCCACAACAUGCUCAGUAACAAUGUUUUGACAUAAGGAAUCCCACCUGAGAAGGAGACCAUCGAUGCCAUAGCCUGGAAAGCUCCCCUUUCUCAUUCUUCCUUCUUACCAACCGUAUUCCCUUUUAGAGAUCAUUUGGUGCCAAUGAAUGAUAAAAAUGAUAGGGUGAUUUAUAGACUAUCCCUGUUUUGUUGACCUGACUAUUGCUUCGUCUUGACCUGGAGGACAUAAGGCAGCUAUCUACAGGGCCACGGGAUGCAAAACAGCAAGUCCCAUCUGCAGAGCAGCUAACUGGCACGGCGCCUUCUUUAGCCAGAAAGACAAUUAUGUGACAGACUCCAAGAGCUGGGCCUGCCUGAGGAGAACGUGGCUUAGAGGCAAAGUGUGCUCACACAUGGAGUGUGUUAGGCACUUUCCACACCUUCAUUCUAAUUAUCACAGCCCAGAAAAACUUGAGUUUGGAUCCCAGCUCUUCCUUCUGAGCCAGGCAACAGUGGAGAAGUCAUGAAGCCCUUUGCCACAGUCUCUUCAUCUCUUAAACAGCGACGACCAUACCAGCCUCACCAGCUUCUGGAAAGAGCAGCGAGCUUACACCAGAGUUCUUAGUGCUUGGCCUGCUGUAAGGUUUCUACAACUGUCGGUAGCAUUAUUGUUGGGGCUGUGGAUUGCCAUGGGGAUUAUAUGAAAUACUCUGUUUAGAAACUCCUGCCACACUUUGGAAUCAUUAUUAUGCCACUUAGUAUUACAGGGAGGGUUUGUUUUUAACCACACACAUUUUCCUUUGGCACCACUCCCUGCUUUUUGACUCCCAUUUAGUGCUGUUUGGUAGAACUUUCUGUGAUCAUAGAAAUGGUCCAUAGUCUGUGCCGUCCAAUAUGACAGCCAUUAGCCAAAUGUAGCUACUGAGCUCCGGAGAUGUGGCCAGUGCAACCACUUCACAUCU